RNAcentral lists this transfer RNA (76 nucleotides) under Fusobacteriia bacterium 4572_74. Its description in RNAcentral is "tRNA-Val". It matches the Rfam family "tRNA". Rfam says of the family: Transfer RNA (tRNA) molecules are approximately 80 nucleotides in length. Their secondary structure includes four short double-helical elements and three loops (D, anti-codon, and T loops). RNAcentral also lists the same sequence under 2 other names. Lineage: Bacteria; Fusobacteriati; Fusobacteriota; Fusobacteriia. The record is from RNAcentral.
GCUCGCAUAGCUCAGUUGGGAGAGCACCUGCCUUACAAGCAGGGGGUCACAGGUUCAAGUCCUGUUGCGAGCACCA